This 497-nucleotide ribosomal RNA is filed under the name uncultured bacterium. RNAcentral describes it as "partial 16S ribosomal RNA". It matches the Rfam family "Bacterial small subunit ribosomal RNA", at positions 28 to 507 of the family's 1533-position model. The record is from RNAcentral.
GAUGAACGCUGGCGGCGUGCCUAAUACAUGCAAGUCGAGCGAACAGACGAGGAGCUUGCUCCUCUGACGUUAGCGGCGGACGGGUGAGUAACACGUGGAUAACCUACCUAUAAGACUGGGAUAACUUCGGGAAACCGUAGCUAAUACCGGAUAAUAUUUUGAACCGCAUGGUUCAAAAGUGAAAGACGGUUUUGCUGUCACUUAUAGAUGGAUCCGCGCUGCAUUAGCUAGUUGGUAAGGUAACGGCUUACCAAGGCAACGAUGCGUAGCCGACCUGAGAGGGUGAUCGGCCACACUGGAACUGAGACACGGUCCAGACUCCUACGGGAGGCAGCAGUAGGGAAUCUUCCGCAAUGGGCGAAAGCCUGACGGAGCAACGCCGCGUGAGUGAUGAAGGUCUUCGGAUCGUAAAACUCUGUUAUUAGGGAAGAACAAAUGUGUAAGUAACUAUGCACGUCUUGACGGUACCUAAUCAGAAAGCCACGGCUAACUACGUG